This is a long non-coding RNA of Mobula hypostoma (lesser devil ray), 726 nucleotides long. RefSeq lists it as uncharacterized. The transcript is spliced from 3 exons. The record is from RefSeq and is a predicted model, not a curated record. NCBI's taxonomy places the organism in Eukaryota, Metazoa, Chordata, Chondrichthyes, Myliobatiformes, Myliobatidae.
GUCAGAGGUAUGGGCUGCAAGUCUGAAAAACACUCCACCAGACAGGACAAUUACCCUCUUUAAAGAUAAAACAUAAGAAGACAGAAAACACUUAGAACAUAAGAACAUAGUAAAACCUGAAGACCAAGAUGUAUCAUCAGAUACAAAAGCCAUGCUAGAAUCAACUUAACACAGGGAUGGAGAUGGCUACGGUCAUUGCUGGUUGAUGGAGUUCUGUCAAAGACCCUGACCCAGAACUAUACACAAACUUCAGUACUUUCUGGCAAUGGGACCCGCUCAGGUCUCACCAUCAGGCCAUUUUUCGGCAUCCCAAGAACACAGCCUAGAAGACGAGCAUGCCUUUGGGAUUCUGAGGCGUUCUGGCCCUGGAGACGAGCCGAUUCUAUGUUGCUGCCGCUGACUGAAGAUCCAGGGGAGAAAACAGAACAUUGGGAAUGGCAAAUAAGUUGCCAGGGGCUCUGUAUUCGGUGAAUCGUGUGCCUGUUCUUUUUCUCUCAUUGGUGGGGGAUAGUCCAUUGCCGACUCUCGAGUCGGAAAACUCCAGGAGAAAAAGCGAUGAGGCAGACUUUAACACCAUAAAUUAGUGAGUUGUUCGUCUUUGUUGGUCUCCCUCCUCUCUGUGAAAGGGUGACACCUUUUUGUCCCUUUAUUAGGGAGAGAGAGCCUGUGGCAUGUCGAAUUGUUGGGUGAACGAUUAGUUUUUUAUUGUACUGCAGAUCGUGGUCU